AUCCAGCUGACGAGUCCAAAACAGGACGAAAUGCGCAUCCUGAAU
RNAcentral lists this non-coding RNA (45 nucleotides) under Trichobilharzia regenti. Lineage: Eukaryota; Metazoa; Platyhelminthes; Trematoda; Strigeidida; Schistosomatidae. The record is from RNAcentral.